Long non-coding RNA from Suricata suricatta (meerkat), 850 nucleotides. RefSeq lists it as uncharacterized. Lineage: Eukaryota; Metazoa; Chordata; Mammalia; Carnivora; Herpestidae. The record is from RefSeq and is a predicted model, not a curated record. The transcript is spliced from 2 exons.
CAAGCCCCUGUGAUUGGUUAGAAACCAGGAAGUUGUGAGUUGGGAUUUCGGUCCCCACUUCCUUUUUCUGCAAACACACACACUUUUUUGUGGCGGGAGGCGUUCUGCCUGAUGCCCCGGCCGUGGGCUCUCGGAGCCUCGCUCCCGGACGAGCCGGGCCUGGUGGGAGCCCCGGGCCACCUCCCCCCGGUCAGACGCAGGACCUCCAGGCGGGGGGACAGAGCAGCCUUUGCUGGGAGUGGAGGGGCUGGCCGGCCGCCUGCUCCGACAUCAGGAUCGUCCUCCUCUCUGGUGCUCCUGGCUGCUCCGCCCGGCGACCCCAUGAGCUUGUCGGAGGACCCAAGCCAGCUCGGCCCAUCUCCACCCCUGCCCCUCACAUCCCAGCUCAAAAGCAGUGGAGACUCGGCGAGCAUCUCCUGAUUAAAUGGCACAGGCUGCCAGGAAGGACUCGGAGCCUCUCACCCUGUGGGUGACGGUGACAGCAGCUGAAAGGCAGUGUGACAACUGGAGGAGACAUGGAGGACAGAUGACAUCAAGCCCUAAGUGAGGAACGUCACCCCGAACUUCCGGCCUGUUCUUCGUGAUUUGCACAGACUUUCAUCUCGGUUACUUGACUGAGCCCCGCGGCAGCCGGAGGGAGGCGACCCGGCCAGGGUUCCCCGCGCCCAGUGGAGCAGGGCUCUCCCCAGGGGCAGGGCCAGGAGACAUUUGCUUCAGAGAAUCGGCUCAGGUGCACCCCAGAUCCAUAGGGCAGGUUGCACUGCUCCCACCCUGCGUUUUCAGCCUGGGCUUCUAGAACAAACCCCCGUAGGCUGGAUGGUUUACAAACAAUAAAAAUGUUCUCACAGUU